GAGAGUAUAGGUCAAGUGGUAGAGCCCAUGCUUAGCAUGCAUGAGGUCCUGGGUUCAAUCCCCAGUACUGCCU
Molecule: transfer RNA, 73 nt
Filed under: Camelus bactrianus (Bactrian camel)
Lineage: Eukaryota; Metazoa; Chordata; Mammalia; Artiodactyla; Camelidae
Also listed under: 1 other name
Rfam family: tRNA
About the family: Transfer RNA (tRNA) molecules are approximately 80 nucleotides in length. Their secondary structure includes four short double-helical elements and three loops (D, anti-codon, and T loops). Further hydrogen bonds mediate the characteristic L-shaped molecular structure. tRNAs have two regions of fundamental functional importance: the anti-codon, which is responsible for specific mRNA codon recognition, and the 3' end, to which the tRNAs corresponding amino acid is attached (by aminoacyl-tRNA synthetases). tRNAs cope with the degeneracy of the genetic code in two manners: having more than one tRNA (with a specific anti-codon) for a particular amino acid; and 'wobble' base-pairing, i.e. permitting non-standard base-pairing at the 3rd anti-codon position.
Source: Rfam by way of RNAcentral